UUUUUUGUCAAAAUUUUUUAUGUUAAUUUAUUUUAAUUACAAAAACUAUAUUAUAACUUUUGGCAAUGAUCAGAGAACAAUUUUGAUAUCAACGGAAAUGAUUGGCCUUUACCAACACUACAACACUACAAACUCAAACCUAAAUCACAUGCACAAGUAACUAACGGGAGAGGCCAGGACAUAGCAUAAGCAUCUAAAACUUCAAAGCAAGCAAACCAGACAGCCAGCCAUCCAAACCAGCAACAUCCGACAACAAACUACAAAAUGCAGUGAUCGCAACCAUGCGGCGGCAACCAAAACAGCCAACCAGAAAAAGGUAAACCAGCAUAACAGCGCACAAUUUCGAUGGAAGGAGCUUUUCGGCAACAUGCUCAUGUGGUAUCGCAUUAGAUGAACCUCUUCUAGGAAACAGUUUCGAGCAAGAAUAUUUCGGCUUAGACAGUAACAGAAGACAAGAAUAAAGCAAGACGACUUUCGGCGGCAAUGCAGAAAUGCAAAAAAAUGUUCCCUUGGAACAAAACUCUCGGCAUAGACUUUGGCGUAUAUUUCGGAACAACAGAAGACGCAAAAAUACUCUAAAAUGACAAAUGACAAAAUACGCGCUGCAAGUGUUUCGACCGCCUGCCAAAUACGGGUUUUCCAAGCCAAAAAAAAAAUACAAGAAUUCAGUGUUAGGUAUAAGUGUAAAAUUA
Long non-coding RNA from Drosophila novamexicana, 692 nucleotides. RefSeq lists it as uncharacterized. The record is from RefSeq and is a predicted model, not a curated record. NCBI's taxonomy places the organism in Eukaryota, Metazoa, Arthropoda, Insecta, Diptera, Drosophilidae. The transcript is spliced from 3 exons.